RNAcentral lists this ribosomal RNA (506 nucleotides) under uncultured bacterium. RNAcentral's name for it is "bacterial SSU rRNA". It matches the Rfam family "Bacterial small subunit ribosomal RNA", at positions 30 to 529 of the family's 1533-position model. The record is from RNAcentral.
AUUGAACGCUGGCGGCAUGCUUUACACAUGCAAGUCGAACGGCAGCACGGGGCAACCUGGUGGCGAGUGGCGAACGGGUGAGUAAUAUAUCGGAACGUGCCCAAUCGUGGGGGAUAACGUAGCGAAAGUUACGCUAAUACCGCAUACGAUCUACGGAUGAAAGCGGGGGAUCGCAAGACCUCGCGCGAAUGGAGCGGCCGAUAUCAAAUUAGGUAGUUGGUGGGGUAAAGGCUCACCAAGCCAACGAUCUGUAGCUGGUCUGAGAGGACGACCAGCCACACUGGAACUGAGACACGGUCCAGACUCCUACGGGAGGCAGCAGUGGGGAAUUUUGGACAAUGGGCGCAAGCCUGAUCCAGCCAUUCCGCGUGCAGGAUGAAGGCCUUCGGGUUGUAAACUGCUUUUGUACGGUAACGAAACGGUACUGCCCUAAUACGGCAGGCUAAUGACGGUACCGUAAGAACAAGACACCGGCUAACUACGUGCCAGCAGCCGCGGUAAACGAA